This 374-nucleotide ribosomal RNA is filed under the name Blastobacter sp. OPB3. RNAcentral's name for it is "bacterial SSU rRNA". It matches the Rfam family "Bacterial small subunit ribosomal RNA", at positions 426 to 818 of the family's 1533-position model. Lineage: Bacteria; Pseudomonadati; Pseudomonadota; Alphaproteobacteria; Hyphomicrobiales; Nitrobacteraceae. The record is from RNAcentral.
UAAAGCUCUUUCACCGAUGAAGAUAAUGACGUGUAGUCGGUAGAAAGAAGCCCCGGCUAACUUCGUGCCAGCAGCCGCCGGUAAUACGAAGGGGGCUAGUCGUUUGUUCAGGAAUUACUGGGCGUAAAGCGCACGUAGGCGGAUAUUUAAUCAGGGGUGAAAUCCCGCAGCUCAACUCGGAACUGCCUUUGAUACUGGGUAUCUUGAGUAUGGAAGAGUGAGUGGAAUUCCGAGUGUAGAGGUGAAAUUCGUAGAUAUUCGGAGGAACACCAGUGGCGAAGCGGCUCACUGUUCCAUUACUGACGCUGAGGUGCGAAAGCUGGGGACAACAGGAUUAGAUACCCUGGUAGUCCACCCGUAAACGAUGAAUGUUA